AAGCCAUGCAAGUCGAACGCCGCUUAGUUGAAUAGCAAUAUCUGGCUAAGCGAGUGGCGAACGGGUGCGUAACACGUGAGCAACCUGCCGAAAAGUGGGGGAUAGCUCGCCGAAAGGCGAAUUAAUACCGCAUGUGACUAGAGAAGGCAUCUUCUCCAAGUCAAAGCCGGGGCAACCUGGCGCUUUUUGAUGGGCUCGCGGCCUAUCAGCUUGUUGGUGAGGUAACGGCUCACCAAGGCUAUGACGGGUAACUGGUCUGAGAGGAUGAUCAGUCACACUGGAACUGAGACACGGUCCAGACACCUACGGGUGGCAGCAGUCGAGAAUCAUUCGCAAUGGGCGAAAGCCUGACGGUGCGACGCCGCGUGAAGGAUGAAGGUCUUCGGAUCGUAAACUUCUGUCAUCUGAGAACAAUUGUCGGAGCAGUAACUGGCUUUGCCUUGAUAGUAUCAGAAGAGGAAGAGACGGCUAACUCUGUGCCAGCAGCCGCGGUAAUACAGGGGUCUCAAGCGUUGUUCGGAUUCAUUGGGCGUAAAGGGUGCGUAGGCGGUGCCGUAAGUCGGAUGUGAAAUCCCGGAGCUCAACUUCGGAACUGCAUUCGAUACUGCGGCGCUAGAGGACUGGAGAGGAGAUCGGAAUUCAUGGUGUAGCAGUGAAAUGCGUAGAUAUCAUGAGGAAGACCAGUGGCGAAGGCGGAUCUCUGGACAGUUCCUGACGCUGAGGCACGAAGGCUAGGGUAGCGAACGGGAUUAGAUACCCCGGUAGUCCUAGCAGUAAACGGUGCACGUUUGGUGUGGGAGGAUUCGACCCCUUCCGUGCCGGAGCUAACGCGUUAAACGUGCCGCCUGGGGAGUACGAUCGCAAGAUUAAAACUCAAAGAAAUUGACGGGGGCCCGCACAAGCGGUGGAGUAUGUGGCUUAAUUCGAUGCAACGCGAAGAACCUUACCUGGCCUUGACAUGCAUCUCUAAGCGGGUGAAAGCCCGUGACUGUAGCAAUACAGAUUUGCACAGUGCUGCAUGCUGUCGUCAGCUCGUGUCGUGAGAUGUUGGGGUAGUCCCGCACGAGCGCACCCCUGGUGGACUGUUGCCACCUCCCUUCGUGGGAGGCACUCUGUCAGAACUGCCUGGUGAACCGGGGGAGG
RNAcentral lists this ribosomal RNA (1143 nucleotides) under uncultured bacterium. Its description in RNAcentral is "bacterial SSU rRNA". It matches the Rfam family "Bacterial small subunit ribosomal RNA", at positions 50 to 1172 of the family's 1533-position model. The record is from RNAcentral.